Molecule: ribosomal RNA, 433 nt
Filed under: uncultured bacterium
Lineage: Bacteria
Description: partial 16S ribosomal RNA
Rfam family: Bacterial small subunit ribosomal RNA
Source: RNAcentral
AGCGAACGCUGGCGGCAGGCCUAACACAUGCAAGUCGAACGAACUCUUCGGAGUUAGUGGCGGACGGGUGAGUAACACGUGGGAACGUGCCUUUUGGUUCGGAAUAACUCAGGGAAACUUGUGCUAAUACCGAAUGUGCCCUUCGGGGGAAAGAUUUAUCGCCAUUAGAGCGGCCCGCGUCUGAUUAGCUAGUUGGUGAGGUAACGGCUCACCAAGGCGACGAUCAGUAGCUGGUCUGAGAGGAUGACCAGCCACACUGGGACCGAGACACGGCCCAGACUCCUACGGGAGGCAGCAGUGGGGAAUCUUGAGCAAUGGGCGAAAGCCUGACGCAGCCAUGCCGCGUGAAUGAUGAAGGUCUUAGGAUUGUAAAAUUCUUUCACCGGGGACGAUAAUGACGGUACCCGGAGAAGAAGCCCCGGCUAACUUCGUG